This 484-nucleotide ribosomal RNA is filed under the name uncultured bacterium. RNAcentral describes it as "partial 16S ribosomal RNA". It matches the Rfam family "Bacterial small subunit ribosomal RNA", at positions 30 to 507 of the family's 1533-position model. The record is from RNAcentral.
AUUGAACGCUGGCGGCAGGCCUAACACAUGCGAGUCGAGCGGAUGAAGGGAGCUUGCUCCUGGAUUCAGCGGCGGACGGGUGAGUAAUGCCUAGGAAUCUGCCUGGUAGUGGGGGAUAACGUCCGGAAACGGGCGCUAAUACCGCAUACGUCCUGAGGGAGAAAGUGGGGGAUCUUCGGACCUCACGCUAUCAGAUGAGCCUAGGUCGGAUUAGCUAGUUGGUGGGGUAAAGGCCUACCAAGGCGACGAUCCGUAACUGGUCUGAGAGGAUGAUCAGUCACACUGGAACUGAGACACGGUCCAGACUCCUACGGGAGGCAGCAGUGGGGAAUCUUGGACAAUGGGCGAAAGCCUGAUCCAGCCAUGCCGCGUGUGUGAAGAAGGUCUUCGGAUUGUAAAGCACUUUAAGUUGGGAGGAAGGGCAGUAAGUUAAUACCUUGCUGUUUUGACGUUACCAACAGAAUAAGCACCGGCUAACUACGUG